Molecule: ribosomal RNA, 510 nt
Filed under: uncultured bacterium
Lineage: Bacteria
Description: partial 16S ribosomal RNA
Rfam family: Bacterial small subunit ribosomal RNA
Source: RNAcentral
GACGAACGCUGGCGGCGUGCUUAACACAUGCAAGUCGAACGAAGAGCGAUGGAAGCUUGCUUCUUUAAAUCUUCGUGGCGAACGGGUGAGUAACGCGUAAUCCACCUGCCCUUGAGUGGGGGACAACAGUUGGAAACGACUGCUAAUACCGCAUACGAUCUAAUCUCGGCAUCGAGGAAAGAUGAAAGGUGGCCUCUAUUUUUAAGCUAUCAUUGAAGGUGGGGAUUGCGUCUGAUUAGCUAGCUGGGGGGGAAACGGCCCACCAAAGCGAUGCUCAGUAGCCGGUCCGAGAGGAUGAACGGCCAAAAUGGGACUGAGACACGGCCCAGACCCCCUCGGGAGGCAGCAGUGGGGAAUCUUCCGCAAUGGACGAAAGUCUGACGGAGCAACGCCGCGUGAGUGAUGACGGCCGUCGGGUUGUAAAGCUCUGUUAAUCGGGACGAAAGGCCUUCUUGCGAAAAGGUAGAAGGAUUGACGGUACCGGAACAGAAAGCCACGGCUAACUACGUG